AGUCUGAUUCGGGCCCAAUAUAAAAUUCUAGCUUCAUAUGAGUUGGAACUUCCUGGACCAAGUGGUAGAAUUAGUGAUCCUCCUCCUGGCAAGAUUGGCCUAUACGAAGAGGCAUUUCAGACUGGGCUUAGACUGCCUGUUCAUCCUUUCAUUGUAGAGAUCUUCAUUUCUUCAACAUCUCCUUUUGUUCUAUCAUUUCAAACUCCUUGUAUUUCAUAGUUGGCUUCAUCACCCUUUGUGUCUUGACUAAAGUCCAACCGUCUAUUUCUCCCUUCUGAU
RNAcentral lists this long non-coding RNA (279 nucleotides) under Elaeis guineensis (African oil palm). RNAcentral describes it as "long non-coding RNA (EGUI_LNC016914)". The record is from RNAcentral. Lineage: Eukaryota; Viridiplantae; Streptophyta; Magnoliopsida; Arecales; Arecaceae.